This 349-nucleotide long non-coding RNA is filed under the name Chlamydomonas reinhardtii. RNAcentral describes it as "long non-coding RNA (CREI_LNC000897)". Lineage: Eukaryota; Viridiplantae; Chlorophyta; Chlorophyceae; Chlamydomonadales; Chlamydomonadaceae. The record is from RNAcentral.
UCUGGAACUGUCUCACUGUGAACUGUGUCAACCCCUGCAUGCCUGCUCGUCCAUGCUAGAUAACUAGAUCUCCUCUUCAUUUUCCGUCCACGACACCCCUUGUCAGACCAACGACCACUUUGCAGCAUGUACAUGAAGCCAGACAUGAAGCAAGUAACUGCGCGUCCUUAUCCGGCACGAGAAUGCGUGGAGGAAUUAGUUACAGCGCAAAUUGCUAUCAACACAAAAUGACUUGUUAAAUAGGGCAGAUAAUGACAUUCUUGCUGGCCGGCUAUGGCGAAAGCUUCUGCGAAGUACACGAGGAAGCUCCAUUUCUGAAGGUAGUCAGAGUGCUGCAAGCGAUGUGCUA